Long non-coding RNA from Mugil cephalus (flathead mullet), 1905 nucleotides. RefSeq lists it as uncharacterized. The record is from RefSeq and is a predicted model, not a curated record. Lineage: Eukaryota; Metazoa; Chordata; Actinopteri; Mugiliformes; Mugilidae. The transcript is spliced from 8 exons.
UCAUCCCAGAGCCAUCAGUGACAUGCAGGAAGUGCGUCUUCGCCGCAGAAAUACAGUUCUGAGGACAUGGUCGAAGCGAUUAAACAUGUACCAAAAGGAAGAUAGUGCUUGUAUCGUUUGAGAAGUUGCAGCUAUGUUCUCCCCUCCCCAUUAGCGCUCCAACUUCUGUUGUAACCAGGGACCUCCCUAAGGAAAUAAAGAGAGGGUAUGGCGAGGUUGUUGAACCUGACAUUUACUUGGUCCUUCGAGCCGGAUGCCAACACGCCUGAGGAUUCCAGCAGGUGCGGUGAAAUCCAGGAAAGACCAUGGCCACGGCAGAACUCCGUUAGAGAGAGUUUCUCUCUGAGUGUCUGCUCUUCUUCUUCUUCUUCCAGCGAUGGAUGUGAAACCUCUAACUUAUUGGGCUUCUGCGCUUUACCACGGACGGCCUUCUUCAACAAUUUCCAAGAAAAACAGGAGGAGGAACCUGUUCUGUAUCCAAUCAGUGUCAACGUGAUAAAAUGAUAAGUAAAGCAAAACUAUCAUACUCCUUCCAAAUAUUACGUAUCUGCAAGGUACAAAAGUAAGUGCAAUUUCUGCCCGUCUGCAGGUUGAUCAAUGUCCUGUGGACAAGCCUAUUGGGAUCAUGUUUAGUGGACAGAUGAGACCAAAAUAGAACACUCUGUUGGUUCAUCUCUGUUGGAAUUAUUGUACAUAAGUUAUCCCAUAUUUACUCUGAGUGUUUAUGUAUCUAUUAACCUCCUAGUAUGCCAAUGUGCAACAGUAUAUGUCUGUAGAGUUGCUUUGCAGGAAGGAGAAUAAGGGGGACGCGAUAUCUGCUGAGUCAUCCCAGAGCCGCGUCUUCGCCGCAGAAAUACAGUGAUUAAACAUGUACCAAAAAGAAGAAAGUGCAUGUAUCGUUUGAGAAGUUGCAGCUAUGUGCUCCCCUCCCCAUUAGUGCUGCAACUUCUGUUGUAACCAGGAACCACCCUAAGGAAAUAAAGAGAGGGUACGGCGAGGUUGUUGAACCUGACAUUUACUUGGUCCUUCGAGCCGGAUGCCAACGCGCCUGAGGAUUCCAGCAGGUGCGGUGAAAUCCAGGAAAGACCGUGGCCACAGCAGGACUCCGUUAGAGAGAGUUUCUCAGACCCUCUCCUGGACUGGAGAUCAGCCUGCCAGCUGGGAUUCGACAACAGUGCUUCAAGUCAGAGUUCUUACGUCACUGUGGUGCUGUCAAGCCUCAGCCUCUAAGAACGGAGGAUCAAAUGACCUACAUCUACAGCUUCACCUCUUUACAGCGUGUAUUUCCCACACAGCCCGUGAUAUGACAUAGACCAGGCUCCAGCAGCCUCCUGACGUAUUCCUCCGUCACUUCCUGGUGAAGCUGGCCGAUCAGCUCCUGGAAUAGAUCCCAGCUUCCAAUCAGCAAUCAGAGCAUAGAGUGCCCUCCAAAAGUAUUGGAACAGCAAGGCAAAUUCCCUUGGACCUACAACCCUUUGUUUGAACCGCCCAUUUUUCAAGUGAGCAAAACUAUCGGAACAUGUGACUGACUGGUGUUUCUUGUUGACCAGGAGUUGCCUUCAAGGUUUAUUGCUCAAACAUUAAAUAGCUCUGCAUGACUAGUCUACUUGUUGACCUGGGUUGAAACCUAAAUUAUGCAUUUCUUAUUAAAGAGCAUAAAGCAACAUGAAGACCAGACCAGAGGGCUGUCUAUGGGAGAAAAGCAAGACAUUUUCAUGCUGAGAAAAGAAGGAAAAUCAAUCAGAGCCAUUGCACAAAUAUUGGGCAUAGCAAGCACAACAAUUUGGUAUGUCCUGAAUAAGAAAGAAAUUGCUUGUGUACUGAGCAACAGACGUCGAACAGGUCGGCCAAGGAAAACAACAGUAGCUGUGAAGAAAAACUCCAAAACAUCAGUAAGUGACAUCA